This 253-nucleotide ribosomal RNA is filed under the name uncultured bacterium. Its description in RNAcentral is "partial 16S ribosomal RNA". It matches the Rfam family "Bacterial small subunit ribosomal RNA", at positions 524 to 776 of the family's 1533-position model. The record is from RNAcentral.
GACAGAGGGGGCAAGCGUUGCUCGGAAUUACUGGGCGUAAAGGGCGCGUAGGCGGGAUGGCAAGUCGGUCGUGAAAUCCCUCGGCUCAACCGAGGAACUGCUGGGCAUACUGGGAGUCUUGAGCCACCUAGGGGCGAGCGGAACAAAUGGUGGAGCGGUGAAAUGCGUAGAUAUCAUUUGGAACGCCAACGGAGAAAUCAGCUCGCUGGGGGUGUGCUGACGCUGAGACACGAAAGCCAGGGGAGCGAACGGG